This 74-nucleotide transfer RNA is filed under the name Limnoglobus roseus. Its description in RNAcentral is "tRNA-Met". It matches the Rfam family "tRNA". Rfam says of the family: Transfer RNA (tRNA) molecules are approximately 80 nucleotides in length. The record is from RNAcentral. Lineage: Bacteria; Pseudomonadati; Planctomycetota; Planctomycetia; Gemmatales; Gemmataceae.
GGGGCCUUAGCUCAACGGUCAGAGCAGGCGACUCAUAAUCGCUUGGUUCCGGGUUCGAAUCCCGGAGGCCCCAC